AUGAAAUGCGUGGUGCAGAGCAUGAAGAAGGUGUUCUUCUACGAGUUCCAAGGGUCGAGAAGCGAGGUUGCUUUCCUCAGGUUCAUUGCGGAGAGAGGUCGGGUGCUGGAGCUGAUGGUGGUCGUGGUGGCCAAGGCAUGUUUCUCCUCGGUGGAUGAUGAUGUGAAUGUGAAGCUGAAGCCUCUGACGGGUGCGAAAUGGAACAGCAAAGCUUGCAAACUACAGAUCAUCGAGAGCCCACGCACUGAUGUCGCAGGUCCACUCUGCAGGCACAAGAUAGCUUCUGAUUUUGGGUGGGCUGACCCUUUCGACCUCAGGUACUACAAAGAAGAAAGGAUCUCUGUAAGUUAG
RNAcentral lists this ribosomal RNA (351 nucleotides) under Triticum aestivum (bread wheat). Its description in RNAcentral is "partial small subunit ribosomal RNA". The record is from RNAcentral. Lineage: Eukaryota; Viridiplantae; Streptophyta; Magnoliopsida; Poales; Poaceae.